This 717-nucleotide ribosomal RNA is filed under the name uncultured bacterium. RNAcentral describes it as "bacterial SSU rRNA". It matches the Rfam family "Bacterial small subunit ribosomal RNA", at positions 8 to 722 of the family's 1533-position model. The record is from RNAcentral.
AGAGUUUGAUCAUGGCUCAGAUUGAACGCUGGCGGCAUGCCUUACACAUGCAAGUCGAACGGUAACGCGGGGCAACCUGGCGACGAGUGGCGAACGGGUGAGUAAUGCAUCGGAACGUGCCCAGUAGUGGGGGAUAGCCCGGCGAAAGCCGGAUUAAUACCGCAUACGACCUACGGGUGAAAGCGGGGGACCGUAAGGCCUCGCGCUAUUGGAGCGGCCGAUGUCAGAUUAGGUUGUUGGUGGGGUAAAAGCCUACCAAGCCGACGAUCUGUAGCUGGUCUGAGAGGACGACCAGCCACACUGGGACUGAGACACGGCCCAGACUCCUACGGGAGGCAGCAGUGGGGAAUUUUGGACAAUGGGCGCAAGCCUGAUCCAGCCAUGCCGCGUGCGGGAAGAAGGCCUUCGGGUUGUAAACCGCUUUUGUCAGGGAAGAAACGCCUUGGGCUAAUACCUCGAGGUAAUGACGGUACCUGAAGAAUAAGCACCGGCUAACUACGUGCCAGCAGCCGCGGUAAUACGUAGGGUGCAAGCGUUAAUCGGAAUUACUGGGCGUAAAGCGUGCGCAGGCGGUUAUGCAAGACAGAUGUGAAAUCCCCGGGCUCAACCUGGGAACUGCAUUUGUGACUGCAUAGCUAGAGUACGGUAGAGGGGGAUGGAAUUCCGCGUGUAGCAGUGAAAUGCGUAGAUAUGCGGAGGAACACCGAUGGCGAAGGC